Aegilops tauschii subsp. strangulata is the source of this 525-nucleotide non-coding RNA. The record is from RefSeq and is a predicted model, not a curated record. NCBI's taxonomy places the organism in Eukaryota, Viridiplantae, Streptophyta, Magnoliopsida, Poales, Poaceae.
CGCCUCCCGCAGCCCCGACGCGAGCUCCUACCUCCACUCUGAAAGUAUGACUGAGAAGGCGGUGUGGGAUGAUGCCCAUCUCAAGAAACUCAUUGAAAUAUUGAGAGAAGAGAUUGAAAAGGGGAAUAGGCCAUUAGGUUAUUUAAACAAGAGGGGUUGGGAAAACGUUUUGGAGAAAUGGGAAGCUAGAACGGGAAAGAAGUAUCCCAAGGAUAAAUUCAAAAACAAGUGGGAUGCCAUAAAAAAUGAGUACACUUGGUUCAUGGAGUUGAAAAAUGAAGCAACUGGGCUUGGAUGGGAUGAUGCGAAGAGAACCGUUGAUUGCUCUAAAGAAUGGUGGGAUGAACAUAUCAAGAGAUGCCAAGAGAGUACAGGAAAGAAAUGCAAUCAUAUGAAGUUCAAAAAAGGGGACCAAAGCACCUUGAAGAUUUGCACAUCAUAUUUGACAAAGUACAUGUUACUGGGGCUAGUGCUUCUUGUGCUGGAGAUAUAUCUUCUGAUGAAUCAAGUGAUGAUAAUGCGGUU